CGCGGGGUGGAGCAGCCUGGUAGCUCGUCGGNCUCAUAACCCGAAGGUCGUCGGUUCAAAUCCGGCCCCCGCAACCA
Molecule: transfer RNA, 77 nt
Filed under: Escherichia coli
Lineage: Bacteria; Pseudomonadati; Pseudomonadota; Gammaproteobacteria; Enterobacterales; Enterobacteriaceae
Description: tRNA-Met
Rfam family: tRNA
About the family: Transfer RNA (tRNA) molecules are approximately 80 nucleotides in length. Their secondary structure includes four short double-helical elements and three loops (D, anti-codon, and T loops).
Source: RNAcentral